Artibeus jamaicensis (Jamaican fruit-eating bat) is the source of this 734-nucleotide long non-coding RNA. RefSeq lists it as uncharacterized. Lineage: Eukaryota; Metazoa; Chordata; Mammalia; Chiroptera; Phyllostomidae. The transcript has 3 exons. The record is from RefSeq and is a predicted model, not a curated record.
ACUCCCUUGUCACGUUGGGUUAGCGUCACCCUUUUGGAUGAGACGCUUCCCAGGGAUGCAGCCCCCUUUCUUCGCCAGUAUUUCCAGAAUGUGCAAGUUUCUAAAUGAGACCUGACAGGAUGAAUGGUUCUGUCACCCAAUGUCCAGAGGAGAAGAGAGAGCAGGAGCUUGUAGCAGGUCACUGGGCGACACUUCUGGAUGGGCUCUGGGGUCUGUCAAGGCUGCACCCAUCAGGCCACCCCCCACUACUGUCCACCCCCCACUACUGGCCACCCCCACUGCCACGCCUUCUUGAUUGCUGCAAGUAGCCCUGGGGAAAAGUGCAUCUCGCUAGACCUGGAACUCCAAGACACCCGAGGGAUUGCCUUGCUGGAGCCCAGCUUUUGUUUCAGAAACUACAGAAAAGGCCCAUCCUGGCGCCUGGGAAAAUAGCCGACCUCCUGGGGAAUUGCUAAAGAUCACCGCCUGGGGACAAGUGGAGGCAUCCGGGCCUUUGUGUUCCAGGGAGAGGCAGAGACCACCUGCCCCUGGGAACAGCUGCCUGCCCAGGACAGGAAUGUUGCAGUUUUUUUCACCUAAUCCUUCUUGAACUUCAAAACCUCUCUCACCACCUCUUGUUUAUUCUGUGCUAUGAAAACCUUGGCCUGGAAAGAAAAGGAAGGUGAUAUGUUAGGGUAUGAACCUGCCAUCUUCUCAGAUCGCUGGCCAUCUGAAUAAAGUGCCCAUGAAGAUUC